GAUGAACGCUAGCGGCGUGCUUAACGCAUGCAAGUCGAACGAGAAACGUGUCUUCGGAUGCGUGGAAAGUGGCGAACGGGUGAGUAACACGUUGGUGACCUGCCUCAGAGAGGGGGACAACCAUUGGAAACGAUGGCUAAUACCCCAGAUGUUGUCUUGUUUAGAAAGGGACAACUAAAACUCAGGUGCUCUGAGAGGGGCCAGCGUCCCAUCAGCUAGUUGGUGAGGUAACGGCUCACCAAGGCAUAGACGGGUAGGGGGCGUGAGAGCGUGACCCCCCACACUGGUACUGACACACGGACCAGAUACCUACGGGUAGCAGCAGCGAGGAAUCUUGCGCAAUGGGCGAAAGCCUGACGCAGCAACGCCGCGUGGAGGAUGAAGGCCUUCGGGUCGUAAACUCCUUUUAUCAGUGAAUAGAAAGGAAGGUAGCUGAUGAAUAAGCUCCGGCUAACUACG
This 459-nucleotide ribosomal RNA is filed under the name uncultured Anaerolineae bacterium. RNAcentral's name for it is "bacterial SSU rRNA". It matches the Rfam family "Bacterial small subunit ribosomal RNA", at positions 28 to 505 of the family's 1533-position model. Lineage: Bacteria; Bacillati; Chloroflexota; Anaerolineae. The record is from RNAcentral.